This 540-nucleotide ribosomal RNA is filed under the name Triticum aestivum (bread wheat). Its description in RNAcentral is "partial small subunit ribosomal RNA". Lineage: Eukaryota; Viridiplantae; Streptophyta; Magnoliopsida; Poales; Poaceae. The record is from RNAcentral.
AUGUUUGCACAAAUAAUCUCCAUCACCAUCUCCACUGAUAUUAAAAGCACGAGUGUGGUGAUCGGUGAUGGCUCCCUCUCCCGGCGCCCCUCUCUCUUCCCUCGUCGGUGUGUUGACAUGUUCAUGGGUUUGGGACAUCGAAAGAACCAAGUUGGGAGUCAAACCGGAGAAGUUCCAGGCACCAGAUCAAGGCCCUUUGGAGAGUUUGAUGGUUUGGCAUUUACCAAAAUGUCCAAAAUGAAGAUCCAAGCCCGCAAAUGCAUUGGGCUUUUUGCUAGCAAUCCAACGAGCCCAAGAACGUCAAAAUCGGAGUUCGUAUCAAGAAAUGGCGAGCAAAAUACGAAGGAGCUCCUGAAUUCCAGACAAAAAGACAACCUUUCAUCCAACCGGAGCCGCUCGUUUGGGCGGUCGUGUGAGCUCCAGAGCGCCACAAAAAUUUACCAGAACUUUUCAAAUUUUGCUCCAAUUUCAUCUUCUGUUUUUCCUAUGAGAUCCUUGACGACCAAGGCUUCUAUUGAACGUAGAUUUGGCUCCCCUUGA